This 444-nucleotide ribosomal RNA is filed under the name uncultured organism. RNAcentral describes it as "partial 16S ribosomal RNA". It matches the Rfam family "Bacterial small subunit ribosomal RNA", at positions 335 to 796 of the family's 1533-position model. The record is from RNAcentral.
ACUCCUACGGGAGGCAGCAGUGGGGAAUAUUGGACAAUGGGCGCAAGCCUGAUCCAGCCAUGCCGCGUGAGUGAUGAAGGCCCUAGGGUUGUAAAGCUCUUUCACCGGUGAAGAUAAUGACGGUAACCGGAGAAGAAGCCCCGGCUAACUUCGUGCCAGCAGCCGCGGUAAUACGAAGGGGGCUAGCGUUGUUCGGAUUUACUGGGCGUAAAGCGCACGUAGGCGGACUAUUAAGUCAGGGGUGAAAUCCCGGGGCUCAACCCCGGAACUGCCUUUGAUACUGGUAGUCUUGAGUUCGAGAGAGGUGAGUGGAAUUCCGAGUGUAGAGGUGAAAUUCGUAGAUAUUCGGAGGAACACCAGUGGCGAAGGCGGCUCACUGGCUCGAUACUGACGCUGAGGUGCGAAAGCGUGGGGAGCAAACAGGAUUAGAUACCCGGGUAGUCC